GCAACCUGCCCCUGACUCUGGGAUAAGCGCCGGAAACGGCGUCUAAUACUGGAUAUGUGACGUGACCGCAUGGUCUGCGUCUGGAAAGAAUUUCGGUUGGGGAUGGGCUCGCGGCCUAUCAGCUUGUUGGUGAGGUAAUGGCUCACCAAGGCGUCGACGGGUAGCCGGCCUGAGAGGGUGACCGGCCACACUGGGACUGAGACACGGCCCAGACUCCUACGGGAGGCAGCAGUGGGGAAUAUUGCACAAUGGGCGCAAGCCUGAUGCAGCAACGCCGCGUGAGGGACGACGGCCUUCGGGUUGUAAACCUCUUUUAGCAGGGAAGAAGCGAAAGUGACGGUACCUGCAGAAAAAGCGCCGGCUAACUACGUGCCAGCAGCCGCGGUAAUACGUAGGGCGCAAGCGUUAUCCGGAAUUAUUGGGCGUAAAGAGCUCGUAGGCGGUUUGUCGCGUCUGCUGUGAAAUCCGGAGGCUCAACCUCCGGCCUGCAGUGGGUACGGGCAGACUAGAGUGCGGUAGGGGAGAUUGGAAUUCCUGGUGUAGCGGUGGAAUGCGCAGAUAUCAGGAGGAACACCGAUGGCGAAGGCAGAUCUCUGGGCCGUAACUGACGCUGAGGAGCGAAAGGGUGGGGAGCAAACAGGCUUAGAUACCCUGGUAGUCCACCCCGUAGACGUUGGGAACUAGUUGUGGGGUCCAUUCCACGGAUUCCGUGACGCAGCUAACGCAUUAAGUUCCCCGCCUGGGGAGUACGGCCGCAAGG
This 760-nucleotide ribosomal RNA is filed under the name uncultured bacterium. Its description in RNAcentral is "bacterial SSU rRNA". It matches the Rfam family "Bacterial small subunit ribosomal RNA", at positions 121 to 893 of the family's 1533-position model. The record is from RNAcentral.